RNAcentral lists this ribosomal RNA (572 nucleotides) under uncultured bacterium. RNAcentral's name for it is "partial 16S ribosomal RNA". It matches the Rfam family "Bacterial small subunit ribosomal RNA", at positions 355 to 918 of the family's 1533-position model. The record is from RNAcentral.
UGGGGAAUUUUGGACAAUGGGCGAAAGCCUGAUCCAGCAAUGCCGCGUGUGUGAAGAAGGCCUUCGGGUUGUAAAGCACUUUUGUCCGGAAAGAAAUCCUUGGCUCUAAUACAGUCGGGGGAUGACGGUACCGGAAGAAUAAGCACCGGCUAACUACGUGCCAGCAGCCGCGGUAAUACGUAGGGUGCAAGCGUUAAUCGGAAUUACUGGGCGUAAAGCGUGCGCAGGCGGUUUGCUAAGACCGAUGUGAAAUCCCCGGGCUCAACCUGGGAACUGCAUUGGUGACUGGCAGGCUAGAGUAUGGCAGAGGGGGGUAGAAUUCCACGUGUAGCAGUGAAAUGCGUAGAGAUGUGGAGGAAUACCGAUGGCGAAGGCAGCCCCCUGGGCCAAUACUGACGCUCAUGCACGAAAGCGUGGGGGAGCAAAACAGGAUUAGAUACCCUGGUAGUCCACGCCCUAAACGAUGUCAACUAGUUGUUGGGGAUUCAUUUCCUUAGUAACGUAGCUAACGCGUGAAGUUGACCGCCUGGGGAGUACGGUCGCAAGAUUAAAACUCAAAGGAAUUGACGGGG